Molecule: long non-coding RNA, 1217 nt
Organism: Helianthus annuus (common sunflower)
Lineage: Eukaryota; Viridiplantae; Streptophyta; Magnoliopsida; Asterales; Asteraceae
Exons: 6
Source: RefSeq, a predicted model, not a curated record
GGCGGCCAAAUUUUGAAUCCAAAUUUUUGAAUCCCGCUCAUCCCCCAAUUCCCCAUACACCCAUCCAUUAUUGUCGUGUUUUUUCAUUUUGUUGAGAGACCAUUAACGAGAGAGUUUAACCAGAUAUUUUAUCAUCAAUUUGCAGAGAAUCCAUAUUUGUUGUUUUCUUUUCGUUUCUAAUUACUUGAGAUUUUAUCAUCAAUAUGAUUCUACUUUCUGUUAUAGGGGACUCAGAGCUUUACUUGUUGGCGUGUUGGGAUUAUUCGACUAUUCCUUGCCAAAAUCCAGAGAGAUUUUGUAAUAUGCUUCUAGAUUUGACCAUAGCCAUUUGCUGUGGUUUUGAGAUCCAAAAAUGGCAUGUGUUGAUUUGGCUUUGAGUUAUAUUCAGAUGUGGGUCAACUGUUCACAGUCAUGUUUGUCGGGUGGAAAAAGCGUAGUUGUUUUGGUCAUGAGCUUGGUGUUGCGUAAUCAGAGGACGGCUAGCUUCUGCUUGCAAUCCCAGUCGUAGCCAUGGAGAUGUUAUGAUAUGAUAUAGGAGCAACUUUGGCUUGUGGGACUGGAGCGUGCGUAGUAGUUGUUGCGGCUAUUCUCAAGGGUUGUUCUGGGGGAGUAAGUUUGUAUAAUUUAAUGCUGAAUUCGGAUAUACACGAUGUUAAUUAAUAAAUGUUAUAUAAUAUAUGUAACUUGUGUUGUACAAUACUGUAAAGUUGAUUUACCAGGAGGGCCAUUGGAUGGGUCCUGUAGAAGUAGUGUCUUUUUGGAUCUGUUCAGCUCUAGGAUUCGUACAAUCUCAAAAUAAUUUCCAAAUUUGUGGGAAGUGAGUUAUGAGAAUUGAGGUCUCUACUAUCGUCUGUUUCUUAUGCCUCCAAUGUUUCAUCAGUGUCCACGUAGCGAGGAGGUACUGAAUGCGGCUACUAUAUGAUGAAGUUAAUGAAGGAGAUAGUUUACGAAUGAGUUAAAAUACUUGACAAUGAUAAUGUUGGGAAAGGAGUAGAGGAAUACUCUGCCGCGGAUAUAUAUGGCAUUCGCGAAGAUUGGUCGACUUAUGCGGUAACCUCUAUUUUUAAGUGACAAAUCGUAUUUUAGGUGUUGACGAUGUAUAGACAAACAAUUCUUUUUUUUUUGUUAACGUUAAAAUAUUUGUAGUAUACUUGACAAAUGAUUAUGUAAUGGAUUGUUUUGAUAUAUAUAUAUACAUGCAUAUUUGUUUUAUGAAA